GACGAACGCUGGCGGCGUGCUUAACACAUGCAAGUCGAACGGAAAGGCCCUGCUUUUGUGGGGUUCUCGAGUGGCGAACGGGUGAGUAACACGUGAGUAACCUGCCCUUGACUUUGGGAUAACUUCAGGAAACUGGGGCUAAUACCGGAUAGGAGCUCCUGCUGCAUGGUGGGGGUUGGUAAGUUUCGGCGGUUGGGGAUGGACUCGCGGCUUAUCAGCUUGUUGGUGGGGUAGUGGCUUACCAAGGCUUUGACGGGUAGCCGGCCUGAGAGGGUGACCGGCCACAUUGGGACUGAGAUACGGCCCAGACUCCUACGGGAGGCAGCAGUGGGAAAUAUUGCACAAUGGGCGGAAGCCUGAUGCAGCAACGCCGCGUGCGGGAUGACGGCCUUCGGGUUGUAAACCGCUUUCGCCUGUGACGAAGCGUGAGUGACGGUAAUGGGUAAAGAAGCACCGGCUAACUACGUG
Molecule: ribosomal RNA, 468 nt
Filed under: uncultured bacterium
Lineage: Bacteria
Description: partial 16S ribosomal RNA
Rfam family: Bacterial small subunit ribosomal RNA
Source: RNAcentral